Molecule: ribosomal RNA, 924 nt
Filed under: Candidatus Nomurabacteria bacterium GW2011_GWD2_39_12
Lineage: Bacteria; Candidatus Nomuraibacteriota
Description: bacterial SSU rRNA
Rfam family: Bacterial small subunit ribosomal RNA
Source: RNAcentral
UCUCGUGCCAGCAGGAGCGGUAAUACGAGAGCCUCGAGCGUUAUCCGGAAUUAUUGGGCGUAAAGGGUGCGUAGGUUGUUCUGUUAGUCUUUUGUCAAAGCCCCGAGCUUAACUUGGGAAUCGCGAAAGAAACGGCAGAACUUGAAAGUGCGAGAGGCGUACGGAACUUAUGGUGUAGGGGUGAAAUCCGUUGAUAUCAUAGGGAACACCAAAUGCGAAGGCAGUACGCUGGCGCAUAUUUGACACUGAAGCACGAAAGCGUGGGUAGCGAAUGGGAUUAGAUACCCCAGUAGUCCACGCCCUAAACGAUGAUCUCUCGCUAUUCAAGACAGCAGGACAGGUGAUGCAUGGCCGUCGUCAGUUCGUGGUUUGAAUUGUACCCUUAAGUGGGCUAACGAACGCAACCCUCGUUGUGUGUUACAAGUGUCACACGAGACCGCCCCCACCUUUGUUCGCGAAGCGAACAAUUUUCAAGUAGCAAUUUACAAUUUUCAGUCAAUUAUCAAUGAUUCAAUUUAAAAAUUAUUCAUUGUAAAUUAAAAAUUUAUUGAAAAUUAGAAAUUAAAAAUUGAAAAUUUGUUUAUGCUUACGCAUAAAGGUGGGGGAGGAAGGAGAGGAUGACGCCAGGUCAGCAUGUCCCUCUGAUACCCUGGGCUACACACAUAAUACAAUCGCCGUUACAACGCGCAGCGACGAGGUAACUCUGAGCUAAUCGUGAAAAGCGGCGCCAGUUCGGAUUGAGGUCUGCAACUCGACCUCAUGAAGCCGGAAUUGCUAGUAAUCGCAGGUCAGCUAAACUGCGGUGAAUACGUUCUCAAGUCUUGUACUCACCGCCCGUCAAGCAUAAGCGGGUCCUAAGGUAAGCUCGGUGACAGGGACUAAGUCGUAACAAGGCACGGCUAGCGGAAGCUGGUCGUGGAAUAA